RNAcentral lists this transfer RNA (64 nucleotides) under Fundulus lima (killifish). RNAcentral's name for it is "tRNA-Cys". The record is from RNAcentral. Lineage: Eukaryota; Metazoa; Chordata; Actinopteri; Cyprinodontiformes; Fundulidae.
AGCUCUGAAGUGUUUCACGCCAGAUUGCAAAUCUAGAAAAGCAGGGUGCAACCUGCCGGGGCUU